GAGAAAAUUUAUUAUAUUUAGGAACAAGAGUUUCAGCAUAAAAUAAAUAAAAAAAAUAAUUAUUAUAUUGAUUUUAGUGAGCCACAGGCCGCCGUUCACAAUAUUUGACCAGAUGAACGUACAUAUAUUGCCCAAAAGAGUAUUCAAAAAUUGCAACAAGUUCAUGAAUCCUUAUCGUAGUGAAGAUAGGAAAGAUGGGGUGAAUUAAACCCAUCUUCACGCUCACUAGCUUCAGUACUAGCACUCGCUGCUGCAAGAAUUACAAAAAUUUAUGCACUCCCAAAAAUUGAGGGAAUCAUUAAUGAGACCAUAUUCAUUAGAGCAUUCUGAGUACCUUUUCUUCAAAACCUCAUCUGUGGCUUGGUCGAUGAGAAAUUGAAUCAUGUCAGAAGUUUCGUAAGAUUUUUCAUGUGCCGAAUCAAUUACAAAGCCCAUGAACAUCAACUUCGGGUGUUUGAGGAUUUGAUUUUAGGAAUUCUAAACACCAGGCAGGAAGGGUAGAAAAUCAUAUUGAUUACAUUUCUGGCAAUAUGAAAUGGGGUAAUGAUAUACAAAACUCAAUAAUUCUGCUGUGCGUAAGCUAUACAAGCAUUGCUAGGGCUUUUAAGGGGUGCCAUCCGCCAUGUAUUACACAAGGCAAACAAUCAAUCGUCAUAAAUCCUCGUAUAUUUUAUGCGUUGAAAGGGCGUAUGUCAAAAUUUAUACGUACAAUUAACUUGCAAAAAUGCUCUGCUCUCUCAUCUCUGCAUUUUGAGAUUUUAUAUCGACAAUACACCGAAACCCUACCUUUCGUUUUCUACUAAACAGCUGUACACCGGCAGACUUUGCUUUUUGCUUCUUUUUUUGUCUUUUCCUCCUGACCUUAAUGCGCACUCAAGCAACUGCAACCUCAGAUUUUUGAGAUUAGGAACACCACCGCGAAAGAAUCUCUUUAAUUCCUUUGUGCUUGUGCACCUUUUAUUUCCCCCUUUCUUCCCAAAGGCAUUCUGACGAUAGCAGGCUGGAGAGUAUAAGUUGAAACCAGCUACCAUACCAAACCAUACUAACUGCGCCGUCCUAAAACCAUUGCUUCUUUUAACUGACAAAAUCACUGUUUAUUCCUCAAUAGUCCUACUCAAUUCUUUCAUUUUUUGGUAGAGACUCCCUUGGAUACAGAAUUAUAGCUAAUAAUGAAGAAAAUGCAAGACCAACUACCCCACUAAAAGGUUGGAAUGAGUGAGUACCAGUUACCCAGAGAGGAUAAUUGCAUUUAUAGGUCAAAAAUCCACUUGUUCGCAAAAUAAAACUUGAAGCUGUGAUCCCUGCAUGUAACCCAAUUGGAAAGGAAAGGCUGCCUUCACUUCUUUGCCGCAACCCUGCCAGAGCCAAAGACAAAAGCCAAAGCCCUGGUAUUGCCAACAGAGACCUCUGGAGAAGAGAAAAUGCUAGCCCUGAAAUGAUAAUUCCUUGAUGAUAACCAAGAUCAGUGGCAAUUUCAUCAGGUAACCAUGAUCUAAAAAGCAGUUCUUCAACAAGCACAAGACCGGUUGCUGUAACAAUUCCUCGACCAGUCAGCAUGAUUACCUGCCCACAUACUUUGAGACAUACCAUGGCAUCUGAAGAAGACGUAGGAAGACUUGAAGGCCAUGAGAAACUCACACAGCCCAAUAAAGCAUUUAUGAACUGUAUUGAUAAAACAAGCGUGACUCCUCCAAUCAAUCCCAUAAAAAAAUUUUUGAUCUGCAAGAAGUGAGCUCAGAAAGUCAGCAGUAAACCAUUUUCCCUAAUGUACAUGGCACCACAAAAUAUUCAUCCAUUUUCAAGACUAAACUUCAUCAAGAAGGAUUAAGGAAAGAAAUGUAAAGUCAAAAGUUUUCCCUCUUUUGCAGCUAAGAGUUUGCAACUUACAUUGUAAGAAAUAAACAAUUACCAUGGAAAAUGAAUAACAAACUUGCUUCUUCAUUCACAAAAUAAAAGUAAUUGCUACUCUUAUCAUUGCUAGGCAAGUCCAGAACUUGCUGAGACAAGAAGCAAGUGACAAAAUUUUCAAGUUUAAGCUCGUCUAAAAACAUAAGAAUCUUAAAAAUAGGUUACAACCAUACCUUAUGUGGUUUCAUAAGGUCCAAACCAUAUUCCUCUAGUGGAUCUUCAUACCCACGAAUUCUUCUGCCCCAUAGCAUAACAAGUAUCACAACAGCCAUAUAAAGGCCAAUAAUGCUAACAAGGCUAGCAAAUCUGGAGGGAUUGUUCGUCGUCCAGCUCUUCACAAGUGUUGGAAGCAACGGCACAAUGAUUGGAGACCACAGAACAAGCAACAUCCCAACAAACCCAAUAAUCCUCUGGUACAAGGGGCGCUCAGCCAUAUGUAGAAAUGAAAUAAGCCUGUCGGUCAGACUAGUAGCACCGCGUAAGCCACCCCAAAGCAAAGCAACUUUACCAACCAGUCUCAACAAGCCACCCCUUUGUCCCAAGUCUGCUAGCAUUGCAACCAGCCUUUCUUGAUCCACUUCACCAUCUUCAUUUGUAGGAACUACUGGACCAGCAACUGACAUGGCUUUCUCAGCAAGGCUUGCAACUACAUUAUUCUGUAUUUUUUCAGAGACCGCUUCGUCAGCCUUUUCAACCGCCUUCACAUCAUCUACUUUCUCAUUCAAGGACUUCAAUGAACUUUCUUCAGUUUCUUUGCCGUAGAAUGGACUUUUUUCAUGAACAAGCCAGUUCAGUGUCCAAAUUAACAUUCAGAAGAAGAAUUAUGUACUUGUUAUAUCCAUACAGGAGACGAUUUCAGAUGCUCCUUGAUAUGAUUCAAUAAUCUCUCUCUUUUUUCUCCCCAAACAAUAGGCAGUAGGUCAUUUCUAACAGUUUUGGGGUUUGAACUGAGCUUAAGACCUGUUGCUGUACCAGUAAAGCAGAUGCUCCAAGGGCAGCUGUAACAGCCCCAACCAUGACUGUGUCAUUGUUUGUAUUUUUCAAUUCAGCUUCUUCCCCCACUCUCCCCCUUGUAAUGUUCAUACCAAUAGUUUGAUCCAUUCCAGUAGUAAGCUGCUGAUCAGCCUCCUUAAUGCUGGACUUAUCUAGAUUUUCUUCCCUGGAUAUCUUUGUUUGGGCAUUCAAUGUCAGGUCAUUAUCAUACCUGGUACCUACAUUGAAAUAUUUUCUCAAAGCAGCUAAGCUAGAGCCUAUAACAACACCAACAGGCAAAACUCUUCUCAGAUAGCUCGUGCUCAGAACAGCGGAAGAAAUGGCCCUUACUAUACACUCUCCUUGAAGAGUUCCCAUUUUUUCAGAAGCACUGACAAUACUGAAGUCUUUGCCUUGCAAGCACAAAGUGCCCUCCUGUCCUAUGGCCAGAGAAACAGCAUUUGCCACUUGCUCAAGAUCACUAGUGAGAGUGGAUUCCAUUUCUUUCAUGUCAUCUGUAAUGAACUUGCGAUCAAUUUCAACCCUUAAAGCAUCCACUAUAAGAAUUUUCACAAAUUGCAUCACCUCUUCUAAUCUAUAAUCACCAUUUUCAUCAAAAUUGUCCACUACGCUGUAUUCUCCAACAGUUUCCUGUUGUUUUUCAGCAUCUAGUAGUACAUACGAUGGUUCAAUAUAGUUGUCUGUAUCAUUCACCUUUACAGGUGAAUGUAUCUGAUCCUUAUGAGCUGUAACAUCAUCUAUAGAUUCUCCAAUAUUUCCUGGUUGCUCCAGGAGUUUCCACUGACCUUCUUCAGGGAAAUAGUCAAGCAAUAGAGCAGUAGUCGUAUCUAAAUCAAGUGGUUUGCCAUUUGGCAUCUUUGAGAGAAGAUACCUGCGGAAGUAUUCAUUCUGUAGAUAGUCCCCAUAUGGAUUUGCUGUUAUGUAUAAUGGAAUGCUAUUUACAUGUUUAUCAGCAUAAUCAGCCAAAAAUUUGCCACCAACUAAUUGAUUCUUCUUUAUUCCUUUCUUAUAAGUAUAGUUACUGGAAGCACUUUCCUGGGAACCAUCAGCACCAUUCUCACCAUAUAAAACAGAAUUCCCAGUGAGUUUCUCCUCUACUCUUCCAGUAUUCACAACAUUCUGUGGGUUGACACCAUUCGCUUUGUGCUUAUAUACAGCAGAAUCCUGUGAAAUACCAGGUUGCAUGGUCAAGUCAUUUUUACCAUUCAUUUUUAACAAGUUAUCACCAGUGGCAUUCUCUUUCUUGGACCUAGAGUCAACUGUCUCACCUUCAACCUCAUCUCUAUCCUGGAUUUUGUUCUCAUCGUCUUUUUCCUCUUCCAACUGAGAAAUCAUGUCUUCUAUGACACCAAAAACACUGUUAACGGCCACUUGGGUGGAAUCAUCCAUCCCUGUUAAGGCAUCUAAUGCCUGAGCAACAUUGAAUGUAGGGGAAUUAGAAUCAGACGCAAUUGGUUUAUUUUGAUCAGAAACAGGCUGCACUGCUUUGUUGUCCCUCUUCUGAGUAUCACUGCUGUCAUUUCCCAUUGGCUGGGAGUCAGAAGAAAAUACUGCAGGUGAAGAAGCUUCUUCAACCAUAUUGCCUGAUGCCAUCUUACUUUGAUCAGUUGAAGAACUUGGCAUUUUCUCUUCAUUUUUCUGGGUAUUAGUCUCCCUUAUCAUUUCUAGCUGAGGCAUUCCACCAUCCUCAUCCACCUUGUAUUCAUCAACAACUGCUUCCUCAGUGCCAGCUGCAUUUUCAGUGCGGCUAGUAACACUUUGCUUAGUGCUGGUCUCCAAUCCCUUUUCAACACUGUUAGAAUAUGAAGCAGCUUUUUCUUUGACAAGCUCAUUACUUUCAUGAUUAUUUCCUGGCUCAUUUGUGCCCUUAACAGAACCAUAAGGAUCACCUUGCUGAAUGUUCACUGUUUGAGGCUGCCCCAAAUCACUAGAGUUAUGCAAAUUUUCUGAAGAGUGAUGUUCUGGUUCCAGCCCAGCAGUAGACUUGUCCGACCCAGGUUGAUUGUUACCAGAGACAUCUGCUAAAUCAUCAGGAAUUUUCAUCUCAUCUAAAGACUGAGGAUCAUUAAGUGUAGCUUCAUCAUUUGAUGCUCCUCUGCUCUUUUCCUGGAACUUUGAUUUAAUCGCUGAUGACACAGCAGGAACUUUACCAAGAAGUCCAUCAAGUUUUAAGUUUGUGUUUUGAGCAUGCAAAAUUCCUGUCACAGCGCCUGUAAGCUUUCCACGAACAUCUUCUGGCACGGCAUCUUGUAAAGCUUUCAUAAGUGUCUCUCCUUGACCCACAGCACUCAACACCUUAUUCUUUUCUUCUUCUUCCAGAAUGCCAGGCAUAGUAACAUCAAGCAUAUUCAUUACCACCUUUGCUGUUUGUAGCACUUGACCACUUUCAGUAUCUACAGCAUCAGCUACCUCCUCUUUGGCCAAUUCUACAUCAACAGAGCUAGUCUGCUGAAAUGCACCAUUUUCUACUUCUUGCAAUCCCUCUUUAAAUUCCAAAUUUCUAUAUGAGUCUCUUCUGGAUCUUGAUUGGGCAGAAGUAUAACCAUCUUCAAUCCUUUCUUUCAUGGGAUCUAUGGUAUACCCAUUAGCGUCACUUGCAGUAAGAUCUAAGAAUUUCUCAAGGUUGAUACCUUUCUUGGAUGUCCUGCCUCCCACAAGAGUUAAACUUUUUGUAGGGUUGAAGGUAACAUCCACAUCUUUUAGAAGAGGAUGACGACCCUUCAAAAGCCCAAGCUCUACUGCUGAUAGCCACUCAAUAGUUAGAUUAUGGCACCACAAUAGAGCUGCUCUACCAUUCUCAAUAAUACCAGAUGGCAUACAAGAACAUAAAAGGAGACUUGUAAAUGGAUUUUCUGCAAUUAAACUGCGUGGAGUGGAAAAUAAUGGUACUGUCCCAUCAUCGUUCUGAAUAAAGAGAACAGGAAUAUUCACAUUUCCAACCACAUCUCGUGUGCUGGAUUUUGAAUAGAACUCUUCUAUUUUCUCAAAACCAUAAGAUACCAUGGAUAUUGCUUUUUCAAAAUCACGAACAGAUUUUGCCAUUAAAGCCUUUUCCACAUGAAACCCUUUUGCUCUCCCUUGAAACAGUUCCUUGUUAGAUCGCAGGAUAUCUAUCAGGCCACCAGUGAGUUUCUGAUCCAAAGCAAUGUGAUAAGGAGAGCAUCUUGUGGCCUCCUCUAAGUCAAAAGGAUUAUUAAUGCAUGUGGCAGCCGUAAGAGGUGUCCUCUCCCCAACUUCUGCCAGAUAUUUAGUCAACAUGUUUGCACCGUAUCCCCAGCCAACACCCAUCAGUGAUGUCCAUGGCCUUGCUUUAUUGAUGAACUGUAUAGCUGUGGAGAUAUCAUCGCUGUCAGCAGCUGUAAAUAACCGUGCAGUGGUGAGCGGAGAACCUGCACAUCCUCUAGGAUUCAUGACAACCGGAAAAAACCCGCGGCUAAGCGCUUCACACACAAACGACCUGAUAUUCUCACCCAGGCUCCCUUCAGCCGUCCCCGGCACAAGCAACAGAGUAGUAUCCAAUCCAUGCUCCUCCCUCAAGUCCAAAUUGGCCGGCCAAUCAAGCGAAAUAACACCACCAUCCUGGGUGCUAACGCACACUCUCUGGUACUCCAAUUUCUCCUCCAAUCCACCAACGCCAACUUCUCUGACCUGAAUCCUCCCACUGUUGAGCUUCACAAAAUGCCUAUCCUGUUCUACCAACCUCUCAUUCACAUCCUCUAACAACUCGCUCCCUUCAAAAGAUAUAGAAGGGCAACGCAGCAACACAAAACGAUUAAACGGAGUGGGACUGGAGAAAAGAAUCCACUCACCGAUGUCGGAAGUAAUGGAGAAUCUACUGGAGUUGGAUUUCGAUAGAUAUAGCGUUAAGCCGGAGGCGAGACCUAGAACGGGAGCGAGAAGAUCGAGAGAAAUGGAGGAGGGGGAUUGGGAGAGGAAGUUCUGAAAGUGCUCAAAUAAGUUGUUGUAAAGCGUGAAGUUUCUGGUGGGCGCACGUUUGAUACGACGGCGUCUGUAAAGGCGGAAUUGACGGAUGGGGGGGGUGAAAAGACGAGAGCUGUGAGCGUGAGGUGGUGUAAGGUAGAGAUUGGAGACGUUCAUUUGAGGAAUUGAUGAGAGUAGAGAGUAGGUUCUGUAUUGGUUUCUAGGGUUAUUGGGGAGAUAAGAAAGAGACGGGAAAGUGCCGGAACAGCGAAAUUGUUGAAACAGAAAGGAAGGGUGGCGGUGGUGGUCCGUUGAUGGGAACUUGUGCAGUUUACCCGCGAAGAAGAAUAAACGUACGGUUGGUUUGGGUAUGGCCAGGGAAAGAAGAAA
This 7212-nucleotide unclassified non-coding RNA is filed under the name Hevea brasiliensis (rubber tree). Lineage: Eukaryota; Viridiplantae; Streptophyta; Magnoliopsida; Malpighiales; Euphorbiaceae. The record is from RNAcentral.